RNAcentral lists this long non-coding RNA (7707 nucleotides) under Lactuca sativa (garden lettuce). Its description in RNAcentral is "long non-coding RNA (LSAT_LNC006053)". Lineage: Eukaryota; Viridiplantae; Streptophyta; Magnoliopsida; Asterales; Asteraceae. The record is from RNAcentral.
AACUUUCGUUAUAAAUUCAUAACUUCUUCGUUUGACGUCCGUUCUCGCCUAACUUUUUAUCGCUUCGAUACCAACAAUGAGAUCUUCGAUUCUCAUUUAGAUUGCUUCGGCUAACAACCGCUCGAUCUCAAAUCGAGUAUAACAGGCUGUAUACCGCUAAGCCGGAACUUCGAUAAAUCAUAACUUCCUCAUACGAAGUCAGAUUUGGGCGUUCUAUAUAUAUUCGGAAACCUCGUUUCAACUACUACAACAUUAACCAAAGAUAUUAAGUUUAUUUUACACUUAAAUUUUGACGCUUAUUUUUAUUCUUAAUUAAUCAAACCACAUAAUUAAGCAAUUAAGCACAAAACACAUAAUACUCAAAUAAUACAAUCUUAUUAUUUCAAAACGGGUUACAAAGGUUAACCUAGACUAUUAUAUUGCUAAAAAUGGCAAGCCCGGAAACACAGGCGUUACAAUUCUCUCCACCUUAGAAUGAUUCCGUCCCCGGAAUCACACAUCAACAAACAAAUGCGGAUAGCGACUCAACAUGUCACUCUCCGUCUCCCAGGUGAGAUUCGGCCCAUUCGUGUGUUUCCAUCGGACAAGCACUAACCCAACCAUUUUGCGUCGCAACUUCUUAGUCUUUCGGUCAACAAUUGCCUCUGGUUCUUCAAUCAACCUUUUGUUCUCAUCAAUUCUCAAUUCAGAAAUUGGAAUUAUAUCGGGAACUUCUCCCGUGAACUUCCUCAAAUAACACACAUGAAAGGUGUUGUGAAUUCCAUUCAGUUCUUCGGGUAAUUCGAGCUUGUAAGCUUGGUUCCCAAUCCUCUGAAGGACUUUAAACGGUCCAAUAAACCUUGGACUCAACUUUCCCCUUUUACCAAAUCUUAUAAGUCCCUUCCACGGCGAGACUUUAAGCAAAACCGAAUCUCCAACCUCAAAAGUCAUCGGUCUUCGCUUCUUGUCAGCAUAGCUCUUUUGACGAUCUUGAGCUGCUAACAUUCUUUCCCUAAUUAUUUUCAACUUUUCAGCAGUUUGAUGAACCAUCUCCGGUCCCAUAAACUGCUUUUCCCCAGCCUCAAGCCAACAAGACGGCGUACGACACUUCUGUCCAUACAAAGCUUGAUAAGGUGCCAUCUUAAUGCUCGAGUGAAAACUAUUAUUAUAGGAAAAUUCUACCAACGGUAAAUGUUCAUCCCAAUUACCUAGGAAUUCCAAGGUACAUGCUCUCAGCAUAUCUUCAAGUGUUUGUAUUGUUCUUUCACUCUGACCAUCAGUCUGCGGAUGGUAAGCUGUGCUUAAACAUAACUUGGUACCCAUUUCCUCUUGUAGACUUUUCCAAAACCUUGAGGUGAAACGGCUAUCACGAUCCGAUACAAUCGUUAACGGAACACCGUGAAGCCUCACAAUUUCCUUCACGUAAGAAUUCGCAAGCUUUUCCAUAGACCAUUUCUCCCUGGCCGCUAUGAAAUGCGCACUCUUAGUGAAUCGAUCAACGACCACCCAAAUCAUGUCGUGACCAUUCUUUGUUCUGGGCAGUUUAGUGACAAAAUCCAUAGCAAUGUCUUCCCACUUACCCAUAGGCACAGGCAAAGGUUCUAAACUCCCGUACGGUUUCUGAUGUUGUGUCUUGACUCUCGCACAAGUCACACACUCGGCCACAUACUUUGCAACAUCAAGCUUCAUCGUCGGCCACCAGUAGUAGGGUUUCAGGUCCCUAUACAUUUUAGUGCUACCCGGAUGAAUCGAGUACAUGGUCUUGUGAGCUUCUUCCAUCAGAAGAUCUCUAAUUCCUCCUGACUUAGGUACCCAAAUACGAUCUUGGAAUACCUUCAGUCCAUGACCGUUAGUACCAAACACCAACGUUUUACCCAAACGUUCCUCCUUUCGGUCAUUUUUCUCAGAAGCUUCCUCUUGAGCUUUCUUUAUACUUUCCACAAUGGUCGAGACAACUUCAAUUCUCAACGCUCUUGGCCUCUUCCUUUCAAGAUUGACCUUCCGACUGAGAGCAUCAGCAACAACAUUAGCUUUACCGGGGUGGUAAAGUAUCUCGCAGUCGUAGUCUUUAAGUAAUUCUAGCCAGCGUCGUUGCCUCAUAUUCAAUUCUUUCUGAUUAAAGAGGUAUUGGAGACUCUUAUGAUCAGUGAAAAGUUUGCACUUCGUGCCAUAGAGGUAAUGCCUCCAUAUUUUCAGAGCGAAAACUACCGCUGCCAACUCCAAAUCAUGAGUCGGGUAAUUCUUUUCAUGCUCUUUCAGCUGUCGAGACGCAUAUGCUAUCACCUUUUCUCUUUGGGUCAAAACACAACCCAAUCCAACACCAGACGCAUCGCUAUAAACAGCGAAGUCUUCAACUCCAUCGGGUAGAGAAAGUAUCGGUGCCUCGCAUAGCUUCUUCUUUAACUUCUCGAAUGCUUCUUUAUGCUUCUCACUCCAAGCAUAAGUAGCUCCUUUGUGGGUCAAAGCUGUUAAUGGAGUAGCAAUCGAAGAAAAGCCUUGGAUAAACCUUCGGUAAUAUCCGGCUAAUCCUAAAAAGCUUCGAAUCUCCGUGGGACUUUUCGGUUGUUCCCACUUCGUCACAGCUUCGAUCUUCGCUGGAUCAACCAUUAUCCCUUCUUGGUUGACCACGUGACCCAAGAAUUGGACUUCACGAAUCCAAAAAUCACAUUUGGAGAACUUCGCAUAAAGCUUCUCCUUCUUCAAAACUUCUAACACUUCUCGCAAGUGUCUGCCAUGCUCCUCCUGGCUUUUCGAGUAGAUCAGAAUGUCGUCUAUGAACACUAUCACGGAUUUAUCAAGGAAAGGAUUACAAACCCUAUUCAUCAAAUCCAUGAACGCUGCUGGAGCAUUGGUUAGUCCAAACGACAUAACCAAGAACUCGUAGUGUCCAUAUCUAGUUCUGAAUGCAGUCUUCUCGAUAUCUUGCUCUCUUACUUUCAGCUGAUGAUAUCCUGACCUAAGAUCGAUCUUCGAGAAAUAGCUCGAACCUUGCAAUUGAUCAAACAGGUCAUCAAUCCUCGGCAACGGAUAUCUAUUCUUUAUUGUUGCCUUGUUCAGCUCUCUGUAAUCGAUGCACAUUCUCAUACUUCCAUCUUUCUUCUUUACAAAUAACACCGGAGCUCCCCAGGGCGAUGAACUAGGUCUAAUGAAACCUUUGUCCAAUAACUCCUGAAGUUGCAUCAUUAGCUCCUUCAUCUCCGUCGGUGCUAAUCGAUAAGGUGCUUUUGCUAUUGGCGUGGUUCCUGGUAACAAGUCUAUUCUGAACUCCACUUGUCUAUCAGGUGGUAAUCCAGGAAGAUCCUCGGGAAAUACUUCCGGAUAAUCACACACCACUGGAAUGCUCUGCAUCACCUUCUUUUCUUUCUUAGCAUCAAUCACGAAUGCUAAAUAUGAUGUACAUCCCUUGGUCAAACACUUUCUGGCUUUCAUUAGAGAAAUGAUUCCAGAAUUCACUCUGCGUUUGUCCCCAUACACCAUAAACGAAUCUUUUCCAGGCGGGUUUACUUUAACUAUCUUCUUCUUGCACAAAAUUUCGGCAUCAUUGGCGCUAAGCCAAUCCAUUCCCAAGACGAUGUCGAAACCAUUUAGUUCGAUAGGCAAUAAUUCCUCGAGAAACUUAUUCCCAUUAAGGUCGAUCAAGACGUUUUUCAUACGAUGGCUAACAGGUACAAACUUGCCACUAGCUACUUCGACUAAUAAAGCAUUAUUUAGUCUAUCAACAGGCAAAGCUAGCUUUCUACCAAACUCAUGCGAAAUAAAGGAGUAGUUGGCUCCAGAAUCAAACAAUAUAUGAGCAGGUAAUUCGUUUACGAGAAAGGUACCUGAAGCGACAUCAGCUUCAUCUUUCGCAGCCUCAAGUGUCAUCUGGAAGGCUCUCGCCUUCGGCUUUGGUGGAAUGUUGGGCCUAGCUGCCUCCUUCUUCUUCGGACAGUCUUUCAAAAUAUGCCCCUCUUCAUUACAACCAAAACACAUCCUUUUGUUGUUCGGACAUUCAUUGGCAAAAUGUCCAACCUUUCCACACUUGUAGCAGGUCACAUCCUCGCUACAUUUCCCAAAGUGCUUUUUCUUACACUUAUCACACCACUUUGCUUCGCCUCCUUUUCCUCCAAACUUUUUCGAAUCAGAUUUCGAAAAUUUGCUCUUCUUACUGGAACCAGAUGUUCCUUCAAACUUCCUUUUCUCACCAACCUCAACCUUGACGGUGGUUCUCCCCUUGAUCAUGUUCUCCACAGACUUGGCAGCCCAGAUAGCUGCCUCUAGAGUAAGUGCCUGACGUACCGGCACCUCGUACUCCCAUGGAAGUCCCUUCGCAUACCGAUCCACCUUUGUCAGCUCGUCUGGAACGAUACGCAAGGCAAACUCCAUCUUAUCGGUGAAGUUAUUGGUGUAUUCAUCAACUGACAUGCUACCCUUCGUCAAUGUCAAAAACUUAUUCUCCAACUCCAACAGAUUUUGAGCCGAGCAGAACUUGCGCUUGAACUGCACCAAGAACUCUGCCCAUGACAAUUGCAGUGGCUCAUUAGGGCUUAAGGUCUUCCCUAGAGUGUUCCACCAACGAACGGCUCCACCUCGGAAUUGUCGCACGGCAUAGAUAGUCUGCAACUUACCUCUGCAGCCACAUGUCAUAAAGGCUAACUCCAUUUCGGAGAUCCAAUCCAUAACCCCAAUCGGAUCCUCCUUUCCAUUGAAGGUCGAUGGUUUGCAAGUCAAAAAGUCCUUGUACUUGCAUCCCAUUCCAUCAUUCCUUCCUUCAUGGUUAUCUUGCCUAACUAUCGGUGGGUUGGCUGGACCAACAGACCCACUGAAGUUUCCACCUUCCGAGUGCCCUUCAUUUAAUUCAGGCUCUUCCACACGAAUCGACAGUUCUUCACGAUUUUGUUGAAGCAACCGUCUAGUUUCAUCCAUCUGACGAUCCAACAUCGUCUGAAUCAUCAAUUGCACACCAGCCAUGGUUAUUGGCUCAGGUGCUGCUGCUACGACAGGUAUUGGCUCAAUCACUGGUGGUUGAUUCCUGUUUUCGUCAGCAUUUCCAACUCCACUUCUUGUUCUCACCAUUUUGAUCUACACCCCGAAUAAGGUGAAAUUAGAUCCUCAAUCAUGAUAGAUAUUCAAAUCAUCCUUAUCACUCCGAAACGUUUACAUGCUAGUUCUAAUAUCGUAGACGUACGCUUAGAAUCCUACACACAUAAGGUUUCUAGAUCCGGUCGGCAACAGACCAUAGAUCCGAACAAAUAAUAUCAUAUAUGGCAACAUAUAACAUUUAGCACAUAAAGCAUUUUAGGCAACUUUCCUAAAAUAAACUAGUGCUCGUGUCUAAAACACAACAGACACACAUCUCAAAACUUCACUUAGCAUUCUAAGUUUAAGUCUAGAAAUCCUACAAAUUCCUAGUUCGCUUAAACUAAUGCUCUGAUACCAACUGUGACAUCCCCAAAAUCUCGGCCAGAAAAGACCGAUUUUCAUUUAUGCUUUUAAAUAUUUUCAGAGUAAAUCCUUUUGAUUUGAAAGAGUUGCGGAAUUUGUUCCCAAAAACAAAACAUGAUAAAACAUUGUUUACCGAAGCAUUUCAUAAAAGAAAUGUAUUUUCAUUAUAAUCAAAACUCGGGGUGUCAUGUUCCGAUACAGACCAAUAAGCAUAAACGAAUACAUUACAAGUCAUAUAACAAAUAUAAACAUAUGCAGACUUGUAAACAAAACAACUUGAUGGUUCAUCCAUCUCAUGCCCUUCCGCCACUACCUGUAAUACAAUUUAAAACUGAGUGGGUCAGGCUUGGGAGCCUGGUGAGCAUAUAGGGUUUUCAACCCACAAUAAAUAUCAUAUUUAAUUUUCACCAACCAACAAUAACCCAAUUACCCAUUCCCGUUAUUCUCACUUUAAUGUCCCUAAAACAACUAACAUAAGGGACCUAGUCUAAGAAUAUUUCAUCGGGGCGACAACACAUGCUUCGGGGGUACCUCAGCAAUAUAAGUCAAAUAAGGCAACCAUGAGGGGGAUGGAGUACAGCGAAUGAACACCCAAGUUCAUUAACACCUACAGGUGGCGAACCUGCUAAUGUUUCCACAAGACUGUCUAGAAUAGCCAGUGGUCGUCAUCUAAACUCCGCUAGAUGACUCAAUCAAACAACAACGAGGCCUCUCAUCUGUUUAUUACACACCAACUGUCUACCCAUGUUCUACCCAACAUAUUAGUAGAUAAAAAUAUACAUUUGUAUACAUAGUUUAAAGAAAACCUGUAUAGCAUGCUUUAAUCAACACAUAUAUCACAUAACAGAUGAGGCACACACACACAUAACACAUAUCUCAUAAAGAAAUAAGCAGAUCUAUAAGAUAGAAGAGAGUGAAUACUCAUUCACACAUAACACAACCAAAUAUAUACACAUAGCACGUAUUUUUAUAUAAAAUACUUCGUAUUAUUGUAUUAGAAGAAAUAACUACACACUCACUUGAUCAGAAGAUGAUCGGACAGCACUACGGCUUAUAGAAGUAGUAAUCCACAGCAGAUCUGGAAGAUCUUCUCGAAAAUCGAACUUCUCGCGGGCAGAGCUUCGACUCGGGAACCGCACUUUUCGGGAUCUUCGGGAUCUCGGGACUUGCCUCGGGGCUAGAGUAUGAUACCGGGACUUCGGGGUAGCUUCGGGGGUUUUUGCACAGAGCUUCGACACGAAAACGAGAGGGAAUUGGCAAAAAUACCCGGAACCCUCGCAUCCUAUUUAUAGGAGGCUGGAGCCUCGGAGUACGCGGGGCGUACUGCGUUACGCGGGGCGUACUGCCCAAAACGUCAUUGCUUACGUAUCCGAAGUGCUCGAGUGCGAGUGUCGACAUCCCUCGGAGUACGCGGGGCGUACUCGAGUACGCGGGGCGUACCUCGGAUCAGAUCGGUGACUCCUUCGGAUAAUGCUUCCGAAUUUUGAUUUAAAUAUAAAUACAAAAUGAUUAAUAAACUUCGGAAAUUCAUAACUUCUUCAUACGAACUCCGUUUUCGACGUUCUUUAUAUCCACGGAAAGGUGAGACCAUGCUCUACGACUUUCGUUUAGACUCCGUCGGCUAAUUUUGACUUUAUUUUUAUUAAUUAUUUUUAAUAGGCCGCGACAGAAACUUUCGUUAUAAAUUCAUAACUUCUUCGUUUGACGUCCGUUCUCGCCUAACUUUUUAUCGUUUCAAUACCAACAAUGAGAUCUUCGAUUCUCAUUUAGAUUGCUUCGGCUAACAACCGCUCGAUCUCAAAUCGAGUAAAACAGGCUGUAUACCGCUAAGACGGAACUUCGAUAAAUCAUAACUUCCUCAUACGAAGUCAGAUUUGGGCGUUCUAUAUAUAUUCGGAAACCUCGUUUCGACUACUACAACAUUAACCAAAGAUAUUAAGUUUAUUUUACACUUAAAAUUUGACGCUUAUUUUUAUUCUUAAUUAAUCAGACCACAUAAUUAAGCAAUUAAGCACAAAACACAUAAUACUCAAAUAAUACAUUCUUAUUAUUUCAAAACGGGUUACAAAGGUUAACCUAGACUAUUAUAUUGCUAAAUAUGGCAAGCCCGGAAACACAGGCGUUACAAUUCUCUCCACCUUAGAAUGAUUCCGUCCCCGGAAUCACACAUCAACAAACAAAUGCGGAUAGCGACCCAUCAUGUCACUCUCCGUCUCCCAGGUGAGAUUUGGCCCAUUCGUGUGUUUCCAUCGGACAAGCACUAACCCGUUUUGAAACAGUUAAAGUUUGUUUUUGAAAAGACCG